CAAAUAGCUCAGUUGCUAGAGCAUGAGACUUUUAAUCUCAGGGUCAAGGGUUUGAGCCCUACGAUGCGUGAAAGA
This is a non-coding RNA of Podarcis lilfordi (Lilford's wall lizard), 75 nucleotides long. The record is from the annotation of a GenBank genome assembly. Lineage: Eukaryota; Metazoa; Chordata; Lepidosauria; Squamata; Lacertidae.